GGGAACAUACCCUUUUCUACGGAAUAGCUCUGGGAAACUGGAAUUAAUACCGUAUGCGCCCUACGGGGGAAAGAUUUAUCGGGGAAGGAUUGGCCCGCGUUGGAUUAGCUAGUUGGUGGGGUAAAGGCCUACCAAGGCGACGAUCCAUAGCUGGUCUGAGAGGAUGAUCAGCCACAUUGGGACUGAGACACGGCCCAAACUCCUACGGGAGGCAGCAGUGGGGAAUAUUGGACAAUGGGCGCAAGCCUGACCCAGCCAUGCCGCGUGAGUGAUGAAGGCCUUAGGGUUGUAAAGCUCUUUCACCGAUGAAGAUAAUGACGGUAGUCGGAGAAGAAGCCCCGGCUAACUUCGUGCCAGCAGCCGCGGUAAUACGAAGGGGGCUAGCGUUGUUCGGAAUUACUGGGCGUAAAGCGCACGUAGGCGGAUAUUUAAGUCAGGGGUGAAAUCCCAGAGCUCAACUCUGGAACUGCCUUUGAUACUGGGUAUCUUGAGUAUGGAAGAGGUAAGUGGAAUUGCGAGU
RNAcentral lists this ribosomal RNA (520 nucleotides) under uncultured bacterium. Its description in RNAcentral is "bacterial SSU rRNA". It matches the Rfam family "Bacterial small subunit ribosomal RNA", at positions 120 to 674 of the family's 1533-position model. The record is from RNAcentral.